ACGCUCGACACCUACGGGAGGCAGCAGGUGGGGAAUAUUGCACAAGUGGGGGGAACCCUGAUGCAGCGACGCCGCGUGAGUGAAGAAGUACUUCGGUAUGUAAAGCUCUAUCAGCAGGGAAGAAAAUGACGGUACCUGACUAAGAAGCCCCGGCUAACUACGUGCUAGCAGCCGCGGUAAUCUGAGCGGGCUGGCAAGGC
RNAcentral lists this ribosomal RNA (200 nucleotides) under uncultured bacterium. RNAcentral's name for it is "partial 16S ribosomal RNA". It matches the Rfam family "Bacterial small subunit ribosomal RNA", at positions 328 to 539 of the family's 1533-position model. The record is from RNAcentral.